This 253-nucleotide ribosomal RNA is filed under the name uncultured bacterium. RNAcentral describes it as "partial 16S ribosomal RNA". It matches the Rfam family "Bacterial small subunit ribosomal RNA", at positions 524 to 776 of the family's 1533-position model. The record is from RNAcentral.
UACGUAGGGUGCAAGCGUUAAUCGGAAUUACUGGGCGUAAAGCGUGCGCAGGCGGUUUUGUAAGUCUGUCGUGAAAGCCCCGGGCUUAACCUGGGAAUUGCGAUGGAGACUGCAAGGCUUGAAUCUGGCAGAGGGGGGUAGAAUUCCACGUGUAGCAGUGAAAUGCGUAGAGAUGUGGAGGAACACCGAUGGCGAAGGCAAUCCCCUGGGCCUGCACUGACGCUCAUGCACGAAAGCGUGGGGAGCAAACAGG